GAUCAAGUGUCUUAAGGGCAAUUGGUGGAUGCCUUGGCAUGCACAGGCGAUGAAGGACGUGAUACGCUGCGAUAAGCUACGGGGAGGUGCGAAUACCCUUUGAUCCGUAGAUUUCCGAAUGGGGAAACCCACCUAAGGUGCUUGGAAAAUCAGAGCAGCCAGUGGUCGACAAGGCCAACUUGCUGCUGUGGUUUCCAAGGAUCUGUAAUAGGUAACUUAUCCUGAAUACAUAGGGAUAAAGUGGCGAACGCGGGGA
This 256-nucleotide ribosomal RNA is filed under the name Mesorhizobium sp. Its description in RNAcentral is "partial 23S ribosomal RNA". It matches the Rfam family "Bacterial large subunit ribosomal RNA", at positions 1 to 191 of the family's 2925-position model. The record is from RNAcentral. Lineage: Bacteria; Pseudomonadati; Pseudomonadota; Alphaproteobacteria; Hyphomicrobiales; Phyllobacteriaceae.